RNAcentral lists this ribosomal RNA (497 nucleotides) under uncultured bacterium. RNAcentral describes it as "partial 16S ribosomal RNA". It matches the Rfam family "Bacterial small subunit ribosomal RNA", at positions 28 to 507 of the family's 1533-position model. The record is from RNAcentral.
GAUGAACGCUGGCGGCGUGCCUAAUACAUGCAAGUCGAGCGAACAGACGAGGAGCUUGCUCCUCUGACGUUAGCGGCGGACGGGUGAGUAACACGUGGAUAACCUACCUAUAAGACUGGGAUAACUUCGGGAAACCGGAGCUAAUACCGGAUAAUAUAUUGAACCGCAUGGUUCAAUAGUGAAAGACGGUUUUGCUGUCACUUAUAGAUGGAUCCGCGCCGCAUUAGCUAGUUGGUAAGGUAACGGCUUACCAAGGCAACGAUGCGUAGCCGACCUGAGAGGGUGAUCGGCCACACUGGAACUGAGACACGGUCCAGCCUCCUACGGGAGGCAGCAGUAGGAAAUCUUCCGCAAUGGGCGAAAGCCUGACGGAGCAACGCCGCGUGAGUGAUGAAGGUCUUCGGAUCGUAAAACUCUUUUAUUAGGGAAGAACAAAUGUGUAAGUAACUAUGCACGUCUUGACGGUACCUAAUCAGAAAGCCACGGCUAACUACGUG